Triticum urartu is the source of this 1136-nucleotide non-coding RNA. Lineage: Eukaryota; Viridiplantae; Streptophyta; Magnoliopsida; Poales; Poaceae. The record is from RefSeq and is a predicted model, not a curated record.
GCCGCUCGGCGGCGGGAGCGUGGCUGCUCGCCUGAAGCAUAUGAUGCUGCGAGGCCGCUCGGCGGUGGGAGCGCCGGUGCUCGCUUGAAGCAUACGAUGUUGCGAGGCCACUUGCCGGCGGGAGCGUCGGUGCUGCGAGGCUGCUCGCCGGAAUCAUCGGGUGUUGCGAGGUGCUUGCCGACAAGAGCGUCAGUGCUGCGAGGUGUUCGCCGGAAGCAUCCAAGGCCGCCGGCGAUGCCCGGAGGCGAUGUCGCGUGGGAGUGUCAGAGUUGUUGUGCUGCUAGGAGUGGUGCUGCGACACUGUGAGGAAGAGGACCUCUGAUGCCUGCGUGUCACGUGCACAAAGAAAGCAGUGUGCAGAAGAAGAGAGAAGGGAUCAAACGGCCGCGCUCGAGCGCAUCAGACGGCUGUAGGGGCGGUUGUUAUUUUCGCCUCCUACAUCUGGAUGGCGCCUAGCACGCGCCCUUUUAAAUUUCUGAAAAGUUUUCGGAAAUUGAACCAUAAUUGAAGGGAAACGCUGAUGAUCUACCGACUGAUUUCUGGGAAAAAGUCCGCCACCUGCAGCAGUUGACACGUGUUCUAAGGCCCACACAACACGUUGCCAUGUUUCCAGAAAAAUCUCACGCAUCUUAUCCCCAUCCGUCUUCUCCUUUCCUCAUCGUCCCCAUGCUGGUCCAACCGCAGCCAUGGCUAGGCCAGCGCGGAGGCGCGCCACCACCACCACCACAGAUGCAGCCCGCCCGGUUCACUCCGCCGUCGGCCAUGGGCACGGCCCCGCACAACCGCCGGAGCUCCAAUACCUGCCGGCCACCUAGCGGCGACAACGCAUCCCUGUCGACCGGAUUGAUGGACCCACAAAAUAUGCCACGCCGACGGGGAGCGCCAUCUUAUCUCUGCAACAACGGUGUUGUUACAGGAAUGGUGGAAGACUACGCAAGUAUGCGAGCGCCCGGAGAUGCUUUUUGCAGUUUUUGCAACAUGAGUCAUAUUGUAGAAAUUUAGAUGCGGCGGAGAUGUUGCAUUAACUUUUGCAACAAGAGUCUUGAUGCAGAAAAUUAGACGCAACAGAAAAUGUUGUUGUAAUUUUUGGAGUGAAUUCCGGUUUUACCUCCUAUUUUGACAUUUUUGACACUACU